RNAcentral lists this ribosomal RNA (253 nucleotides) under uncultured bacterium. RNAcentral's name for it is "partial 16S ribosomal RNA". It matches the Rfam family "Bacterial small subunit ribosomal RNA", at positions 524 to 776 of the family's 1533-position model. The record is from RNAcentral.
UACGAAGGGUCCAAGCGUUGUUCGGAAUCAUUGGGCGUAAAGCGCGCGCAGGCGGAUCAGUAAGUCAGGUGUGAAAUCUCGAAGCUCAACUUCGAAACUGCGCCUGAAACUACUAGUCUAGAGUGUCGGAGGGGGUAGGGGAAUUUCACGUGUAGGGGUAAAAUCCGUAGAGAUGUGAAGGAACACCGGGGGCGAAGGCGCCUACCUGGCGACUACUGACGCUGAGGCGCGAAAGACGUGGGGAGCAAACAGG